UAAAUUAUAUAAUAAAAUUAGCGUAAGUUACUGCAACGAUUUGGACUUUGUUUAAUCUGUAAAAUAACCCACCAUGCAAGGGCUCAAACAAUAUAUUACAUCCACAAGAGAAGCUUUUUUUACAAGAAAGUAGAGAAAAAUAUGACUAACCAAAAGAACAAAAAUGAAAAAGUUCACAAGCUACGUGAAUUCUACCACAUUAUUUGACAUGCCCUCAUUCUAAAAUACCCUUGCUACAUUUUGCAGAGUCCAAAUUAUUACUACUCUUUAAUUUCACCAAAGUUCUCAUUAGAAUCAAAGCCACCAGGGUAAAUUUUCUUACCCUUACUACUUUUACCAUCCUCUACUAAUUUUUUCACUGCGCCACCGUCGUUAUUAGUACUUCGAGCUUUUUCUUCUUCCACUCUCUUCGACUUCUCUUUUAGGCGUUUUUGCUGCAGGUAAAGAUGGGCAAAGUUUACUCCCAUGGAAGCCAUAUUUUGAAUUUUGUAGAAAUAAUUCUAAGUGUUUGAUGUGUGUUUGCUAAUUGCUUGAUGUUUGGGAAAACAAUAGAAGAGGCAAUUUAUAGAGGGGAUUUCUCGCCUUAAUUUGUAAGAAACCAAGGUACUAUUUCUUUUUCUUUUUUUUUAGGUGGCUAAUGGUGACCAUUAGGCUAUAAUAUUAUUUAAACAGGACGGUUUAAUUUACAAUACGGAUAAGGAAGUGGAGGGUUACAAUGUAUAAAGUGGUUAUCUUUUAAAGUUGGCUUAACCACUACUAGCAAAA
Molecule: long non-coding RNA, 765 nt
Filed under: Nicotiana benthamiana
Lineage: Eukaryota; Viridiplantae; Streptophyta; Magnoliopsida; Solanales; Solanaceae
Description: long non-coding RNA (NBEN_LNC016478)
Source: RNAcentral